AACGAACGCUGGCGGCAGGCCUAACACAUGCAAGUCGAGCGCGCCCUUCGGGGUGAGCGGCGGACGGGUUAGUAACGCGUGGGAAUAUACCCUUUGGUACGGAAUAGCCUCUGGAAACGGAGAGUAAUACCGUAUGAGCCCUUCGGGGGAAAGAUUUAUCGCCAAAGGAUUAGCCCGCGUUAGAUUAGGUAGUUGGUGGGGUAAUGGCCUACCAAGCCUACGAUCUAUAGCUGGUUUUAGAGGAUGAUCAGCAACACUGGGACUGAGACACGGCCCAGACUCCUACGGGAGGCAGCAGUGGGGAAUCUUGGACAAUGGGGCAACCCUGAUCCAGCCAUGCCGCGUGAACGAUGAAGGCCUUAGGGUUGUAAAGUUCUUUCAACGGUGAAGAUAAUGACGGUAGCCGUAGAAGAACCCCGG
RNAcentral lists this ribosomal RNA (420 nucleotides) under uncultured bacterium. RNAcentral describes it as "bacterial SSU rRNA". It matches the Rfam family "Bacterial small subunit ribosomal RNA", at positions 29 to 495 of the family's 1533-position model. The record is from RNAcentral.